CCAAAAAUGUUAUCAGUCCAGACAUAAACUCCAAUUAAACUUACUCAAUACAGAUCUAUCUCAUCGUCUCUCGCAUGUUUCUUUACGUCUGUUCUUGUUCUUCCCCUAACAAAUGACCGAGACAUCACGGUAGGUUCUGUCGUAUGCAUGUGAUGUUGCAAGGAUAGUGUGAGUCGUCUUCAUCCUGGAGCCGCCUGUGACGUGUGGAAACUGCGUUGCCGGGUGAUCGACGAAAUGACCAAGGGUCCAGUCCACCCAAAUCUCCACCAAGGUUGCAGAUUGAAUCCAAGAAGAUCUCAUUAAUGGUGCUGAGGAACGAACUCAAACGAAGUAACCAAUCUGGAAUCGGAGGGGAAGAAGGAAACAACAUCUCUUGCUAGUUCUUGGCAGACAUCACCAGCUGCAGUCAGAAACAGACCUCGUCUUCAACCCGGACCCUCUUGUGAUGCGUGGAAGCCGUGUCGCCAGGUGAUCGAUGAAAUGACCAAGGGUUUAGAAUCCAUGAAAAGGAAGAGGAAAGAACAUCUCUUUCCGGUUCUCGGCAAACAUCACCUGCUGCACCUCGCAAGGCGCCAUCGGCCAUCGGUGGCUUGUGGCUAACGAAGCGGG
This 609-nucleotide long non-coding RNA is filed under the name Musa acuminata (dwarf banana). RNAcentral's name for it is "long non-coding RNA (MACU_LNC007359)". Lineage: Eukaryota; Viridiplantae; Streptophyta; Magnoliopsida; Zingiberales; Musaceae. The record is from RNAcentral.